This 253-nucleotide ribosomal RNA is filed under the name uncultured bacterium. RNAcentral's name for it is "partial 16S ribosomal RNA". It matches the Rfam family "Bacterial small subunit ribosomal RNA", at positions 524 to 776 of the family's 1533-position model. The record is from RNAcentral.
UACGGAGGGUGCAAGCGUUAUCCGGAUUCACUGGGUUUAAAGGGUGCGUAGGUGGGCAGGUAAGUCAGUGGUGAAAUCUCCGGGCUUAACUCGGAAACUGCCAUUGAUACUAUCUGUCUUGAAUACCGUGGAGGUCAGCGGAAUAUGUCAUGUAGCGGUGAAAUGCUUAGAUAUGACAUAGAACACCAAUUGCGAAGGCAGCUGGCUACGCAUAUAUUGACACUGAGGCACGAAAGCGUGGGGAUCAAACAGG